CCUACGGUGGGCUGCAGUGGGGAAUAUUGGGCAAUGGACGAAACUCUGACCCAGCAACGCCGCGUGAAGGAAGAAGGCUUUCGGGUUGUAAACUUCUUUUAAGAGGGCAGAGCAGAAGACGGUACCCCUUGAAUAAGCCACGGCUCACUACGUGCCAGCAGCCGCGGUAAUACGUAGGUGGUAAGCGUUGUCCGGAUUUAAUGGUUGUAAAGGUCGUGCAGCCGGAGAGACAAGUCAGAUGUGAAGUCCACGGGCUCAACACGUGAACUGCAUUUGAAACUGGUUCCCUUGAGUGUCGGAGAGGUAAUCGGAAGUCCUUGUGUAGCGGUGAAAUGCGUAGAUAUAAGGAAGAACACCAGUGGCGAAGGCGGAUUACUGGACGAUAACUGACGGUGAGGCGCGAAAGCGUGGGGAGCAAACAGGAUUAGAUACCCUUGUAGUC
This 442-nucleotide ribosomal RNA is filed under the name uncultured bacterium. RNAcentral's name for it is "partial 16S ribosomal RNA". It matches the Rfam family "Bacterial small subunit ribosomal RNA", at positions 338 to 795 of the family's 1533-position model. The record is from RNAcentral.